UAAUUCGGGAAUGAGAUACGAGAUUUAGGAUUUUUCCAUUUCCAGUUUCAGAUUAUUGAAGGAUUUUUUUUUCUAUUAGUUUUCGGGUUGCUAUUUAGGGUUUUGAAUCCGUUUCUUGCGAAUCUUAAUAGGGGCUAAGCAGAUCUUAUCGUCAAAGCCAUUGAUUCCUUUAAAUCAAUCAAAUGCUUCAAUCUUUCGGACACACACAUGCUCUCUGUUUGGAUCUGUUUCUUUCUCUCUCAAAGAAAUGGCUCUGAGGUCUUUGGAUAAUGCUCUCCCGACAACACCGGAAAGGCCCAAAAAGCAAGCGAAAGUUGUAGUUUCAAUUCAGAAACAGUCUGAUUUUGGUGUGAAUGAUGAGAACAAAGCUCCAUUGCCACCAACUGCAGAUGCCACCAACUGCAGAUGCCACCAUUGACUACAUCUCUUCUAAGAAUCUUAAAGCCAUGCCUGACCCAAAAACCCAGAUAAUUGGUUUGACUGAGUGAUUGGAUUCCAAGGAUUAGGCCAAGGUGUGUGAAUCUCUGAAUGACGCUAGGCGGUUUGCGCUGUAUCAUUCCGCUCUGAUGGCACCGAUCUUAGAAAAAGUGUUGUUGGUGCUGGUGAAGGCCAUGAAGAACCCUAGAAGUGCUCUGUCCAAGACCUCUAUUAUGGCUUCAACUGAUAUCUUCAAUACUUUUGGUGAUGAGUUGCUUCAGCCCCGCCCCGCCCCGCCCCGGGUUUGGGACGGGUUUGGGAAAUAACUAAAUAUUUUGGGACAGGAAUGGGAUAGCGGUGACCCGUCCCAAACCCGCCCGUUGCCAUUCCUAGAAGAGGGUAUCAAACCAGAGAACCUACACCACAGAGAACUGGCCUCUUUCAAAAAUGCAGUUGCAGGCAAAGAGCAUUCCAAAGGUAAUAUUCAAGCAAUAAAGCAAUAAAUGAGAUAAUAAAAUUGACAUAAACUUUUAAAAAAGAUACAUUUUAUUGAUCAUUUGAACAAAAUGUACAACAACACUCUUUUACACUUGAUGCAAAAAGGAAAAUCUAGAAGAGGAUAAGAGAAUUUACAAAGGGAGCAUACACUUUAUGGGGUGGCCUUUUUUCUUUUUUCUUUUUUUGAUAGUUAAAUUUUUAUCUCCAUUAGGACUUGAACCUGGAACUCCCACAAAUCCUCCCCAUCCUUUUACCAGUUGAGCCAACACUUAAGCAUGCCUUCCAAAUUUUGAAUUAGGAGGCAAGUUGGUCGGACUAGAACCAAAAGGAAAGAGCAAAAAAAAUAAAGAAAAUGGCUGAUUACAAAACCAAAGCUAACACAUCUAGGAGAAGCUUAACUCCUAAAUUUUUUAGAUUCUAGGCUAAUAACUAGAGUUUAGAAAAUCACUAAUCAUGUUUUCGAGUCUAGAAAACAGUUUUCUGUUUUUAAGAACAAGAACCUGUUCUUACAAACAGUUUCCAAACGGGCUCUUAGACUCCGUAUCUCACCUAACUGACGUCCCCCUAGCUAGUAGUUGCCUGGAUCUUUCAUCACCUCCCUUGAGAUUUCUAU
Vitis vinifera (wine grape) is the source of this 1528-nucleotide long non-coding RNA. RefSeq lists it as uncharacterized. The transcript has 3 exons. NCBI's taxonomy places the organism in Eukaryota, Viridiplantae, Streptophyta, Magnoliopsida, Vitales, Vitaceae. The record is from RefSeq and is a predicted model, not a curated record.